Podarcis lilfordi (Lilford's wall lizard) is the source of this 81-nucleotide non-coding RNA. The record is from the annotation of a GenBank genome assembly. Lineage: Eukaryota; Metazoa; Chordata; Lepidosauria; Squamata; Lacertidae.
CAUUGAAAUAUAGCUUAGUUGGUAGAGCAUGAGACUCUUAAUCUCAGGGUUGUGGGUCCAAGCCCCACGUUGGGUGAAAGA